RNAcentral lists this unclassified non-coding RNA (281 nucleotides) under uncultured fungus. RNAcentral describes it as "partial contains small subunit ribosomal RNA, internal transcribed spacer 1, and 5.8S ribosomal RNA". The stretch from base 1 to 73 matches the Rfam family "Eukaryotic small subunit ribosomal RNA", at positions 1759 to 1831 of the family's 1831-position model. Lineage: Eukaryota; Fungi. The record is from RNAcentral.
ACAAACUUGGUCAUUUAGAGGAAGUAAAAGUCGUAACAAGGUUUCCGUAGGUGAACCUGCGGAAGGAUCAUUAUCGAUGGCCGCCGUGACCUCAUCGGGAUCGGCUGGCUAUUUGACCACACCCUUACUUUACGCGUACCUUUUGUUCUCCUUCGGCGGGGCAACCCGCCGCUGGAACUCAACAGAACCUUUUGUAUCUAGUAUUACCUGUUCCGAUAACCAUAAUCGUUACAACUUUCAACAAUGGAUCUCUUGGCUCUGGCAUCGAUGAAGAACGCAGC